This 306-nucleotide ribosomal RNA is filed under the name Clostridioides difficile. Its description in RNAcentral is "partial 23S ribosomal RNA". It matches the Rfam family "Bacterial large subunit ribosomal RNA", at positions 2518 to 2823 of the family's 2925-position model. Lineage: Bacteria; Bacillati; Bacillota; Clostridia; Peptostreptococcales; Peptostreptococcaceae. The record is from RNAcentral.
UUGGCACCUCGAUGUCGGCUCAUCACAUCCUGGGGCUGUAGUAGGUCCCAAGGGUUGGGCUGUUCGCCCAUUAAAGUGGUACGCGAGCUGGGUUCAGAACGUCGGGAGACAGUUCGGUCCCUAUCCGUCGCAGGCGUAGGAAAUUUGAGAAGACCUGUCCUUAGUACGAGAGGACCGGGAUGGACGUACCUCUGGUGUACCAGUUGUUCUGCCAAGGGCAUGGCUGGGUAGCUAUGUACGGAAUGGAUAAGCGCUGAAAGCAUCUAAGCGCGAAGCCAACUUCAAGAUAAGAUUUCCCACCGCAAG